GGCUCGUUGGUCUAGGGGUAUGAUUCUCGCUUUGGGGUGUGGCGGUCCUGGGUUCGACUCCCCAGACGAGCCC
Molecule: transfer RNA, 73 nt
Filed under: Ameiurus melas (black bullhead)
Lineage: Eukaryota; Metazoa; Chordata; Actinopteri; Siluriformes; Ictaluridae
Description: tRNA-Pro
Source: RNAcentral